CCUACGGGAGGCAGCAGUGGGGAAUAUUGGGCAAUGGAGGAAACUCUGACCCAGCAACGCCGCGUGAAUGAUGAAGGUCUUCGGAUUGUAAAGUUCUUUUCUAAGGGAAGAAGAAAGUGACGGUACCUUAGGAAUAAGCCUCGGCUCACUACGUGCCAGCAGCCGCGGUAAUACGUAGGAUGCGAGCGUUAUCCGGAAUGACUGGGCGUAAAGGGUGCGUAGGUGGGAAGCCAAGUCAGCUGUGAAAACUACGGGCUUAACGUGUAGACUGCAGUUGAAACUGGUUUUCUGGAGUGAAGUAGAGGUUGGCGGAAUGCCGAGUGUAGCGGUGAAAUGCGUAGAUAUUCGGAGGAACACCGGUGGCGAAGGCGGCCAACUGGGCUUUAACUGACGCUGAGGCUCGAAAGUGUGGGGAGCAAACAGGAUUAGAUACCCCUGUAGUC
RNAcentral lists this ribosomal RNA (443 nucleotides) under uncultured bacterium. RNAcentral's name for it is "partial 16S ribosomal RNA". It matches the Rfam family "Bacterial small subunit ribosomal RNA", at positions 338 to 795 of the family's 1533-position model. The record is from RNAcentral.